AUCCAGCUGACGGGUCCCAAAUAGGAUGAAAUGCUCAUCCUAGAU
RNAcentral lists this non-coding RNA (45 nucleotides) under Trichobilharzia regenti. The record is from RNAcentral. Lineage: Eukaryota; Metazoa; Platyhelminthes; Trematoda; Strigeidida; Schistosomatidae.